This is a long non-coding RNA of Passer domesticus (house sparrow), 745 nucleotides long. RefSeq lists it as uncharacterized. The transcript has 3 exons. NCBI's taxonomy places the organism in Eukaryota, Metazoa, Chordata, Aves, Passeriformes, Passeridae. The record is from RefSeq and is a predicted model, not a curated record.
UCAACACAGCAGGGCCUGAUGGAGCCCAGGUGCUGAUGGGACAUUUCCAAGGCUUGUGCAAGCAAGUGUCCAUAGUGACAGAGGCUGGCCUAAUGGAACACUUUUACCCAACAAUCUCAUGGAACCAAGUGUCCACUGUUUCACAGAGCAACCUCAUAAAGUGGCAUUUGGCUCUGGCAGUGGGGAUUGCUGAUGGUUGCUGCAGGAAAAAGGAGAUGACUGUGACACUUUGUGGCACAUGGAAACAAGGAAAGUCCUAUGACACUGUGGGGCCCCAUGGAACCAAAUAUCCAUUGUGACGCUAAAGAACCUCAGACAACCAAAGAAACUCCUGUGACACUGUGGGGCCCAUGGAACCAAAGGGCUGACACGUGGAAAUAGAAAUUCCACAACCAUUAGGUCAGUGAAGUAGGUAUGUUUGUUUAUUCAGCACUGGACACAUGAGGAAUCACUUCAUCAAAGACCACUCCCAAGAUGAGCCACAGAUGCCCCUUGGUAUGUAGUGGAGCAUCAUGAAAGCCAAGAGACCCUCAUGGAGCCAAGGCUGCAGUGUGUCAGAGAGGAACCUUGUGGAAGCCAGGAGGGCAGUGUGAGGCUAUGGAACAAUAUGGCACCAAGGUUUCACUGGGACUUGACAGAACCUCACGGAAGCAAGGAAGCAUUGUGAGCCUCCAGAAUCAGCGUCUGCAGGAGGAUUUUCUGCUCCCUCCUGGGAUUUUGGUGGACAAUAAAGCCUGAGACAGUC